Molecule: long non-coding RNA, 3117 nt
Organism: Phragmites australis (common reed)
Lineage: Eukaryota; Viridiplantae; Streptophyta; Magnoliopsida; Poales; Poaceae
Exons: 6
Source: RefSeq, a predicted model, not a curated record
UUGGCCUCUUUCCAGUCACCAGCUCCAGCAAAAGCAUAAUAGCAGUCAGAUAUUAGGCCAUAUCAGACAUAAGUUUAUAACAAUAGAUUUGAGUGCUAUUGUUCCUUUUGUAUCACAGCUAUUGUUGAUUAUAUUUUGUAGUUCGGAUUCUCUGAAUUUCUUAUUUUACUUUUCUUCUUAUGAGUUCUGUUUAUUCUCUGACAGUAUAUGCUAGUAUAUUUUAGUCAUGCUAUCAUCUGUGCUCUUUGUUUCCUCCCCUUUGCUGUGUGCUAGCCAGAUACUUGGUAGUAAUAGAAUUUUGUUUAAUGUCUGUCAGUGCUAUCAUCCGAUGUGUGCUAUCAUCUGUGCUGUGUGUUGUCAUCUGUGCUGUGUGCUAGCCAAUAUAUGCUAGUAUAGUUAAGUUCUGUACUUGGUAGUAAUAGAAUUUGGAGCCAGAUACUCAAAACACUUCUUGUAUGACUCAUAAAACAUGUUACCAGUGCUUGUAUGGCUCCUAAAACAGGUUACAACUGUGUGCUAUCAUCUUGUAGAAGCAUGUUAUCAGUAGAUCAUAUAAUUGCAAGAAUGUCGACUCCGGGAACCAGUGGGUAGCAGGCUGCAGGUGCAGGUGCUUCUACUCCAUCUGCUACACCUACACCUACUCCAUCCUUUGAUGCUCCAGCUGCUGCACCGUCACCAGGUGCUGCACCUACACCAUCACAAGACACACAAGGUAUUGAUGUGGUGGUGGUAGAUGAUGAUGAUGUAGGUGGUACAAAUAAGAGAAAGCUAAAAUCUGUCGUGUGGGAAGAAUUCAAAAGACUAAAAGUAGGGAACAAAUGGAAGGCUGAAUGUAGUUGGUGUCAUAAAAUGCUAGGAGCGGAGACAAAAAAUGGUACCAAUCACUUGCAUGGCCACCUUUCAAUUUGUGAGUCUUGACAGGUUAGGAAAGGCUUAAAACAAUCCACUUUGAAGUUGUCAAAAAAUCAGGAUGGGCCAGUUGUUGUAGAGAAAUAUGUGCCUGAUCAAGAUCUUGCAAGGAAAGAACAUGCACUAAUGAUAUGUGUCCAUAGGUACCCACUUUCUAUGGUUGACCAUGCCGGCUUUCGAAAGUUUUGUGCUGCAAUGCAGCCAUUGUUUAAGGCAGUGUCUAGAAACACAAUUAGGAAGGAUAUAUUGGAUAUGUAUGAUGGGCAAAGCUAUCUGUGGUGAAGUGCUUCCAAUAGUGCCAAUCUCGUAUUGCUAUCACAACAGAUAUGUGGACAGUAAAUCAUUAAAAGAAAGGGUACAUGGCAGUGACAACACAUUAUAUUGAUGAUGACUGGAAGCUAAAAAGCUUCCUUUUGAGGUUCAUUUACGUGCCAACCCCACAUACAAGUGAAGUUAUAAGUGAUGUCCUUUAUGAUGUACUCAUGGAUUGGCAUAUCGAGAAGAAGGUGUCAAGUGUAACUCUUGAUAAUUGCAACACCAAUGACUCUCUUAUGGAAAAGAUGCAAGAUAAGUUGCCUCUUGACUCUCUUAUGUUAGGUGGUAGAUUAUUGCAUAUGCGUUGUGCUGCACAUAUCUUGAAUUUGAUUGUGAAAGAUGGAUUGUCUGUCAUGGAGAAGAGCAUUGAGAGGGUUCGUGAAAGUAUUGGUUAUUGGUCAGCAACACCAAAAAGACAUGAAAGGUUCGAAAGAAUGGUAUCUCAGAUGAACAUUAAAUAUCAGAAAAGAAUAGCUCUUGAUUGUAAAACUAGAUGUAAUUCCACUUAUCUUAUGCUUAGCACUGCAUUAGAGUACCAACUAGUCUUUGACGCCUUGCACAACGCGAAAAAUAAUGUGCUACUUUUCGUUCAACAGAGGAUGAUUGGAAGUUUGCUAAGGAGCUUUGUGGUAGAUUGAAUAUAUUUUAUGAUAUCACUGAGAUAUUGUCAGACGCUAGUUUAUGUUACUGCAAACAUUUUCUUUCCAAAAAUCUGCGGUAUUCAUUUGGCUAUUAGGAAAUGGCGAGCUAGUGAUGUCCCGGAGAUAGAAAACAAUGUCAAAAUUGAUGAAAGAAAAAUUUGAUAAAUAUUGAAUAGAUGUUCAUGGUCUCAUGGCAAUUGCUACGGUUCUAGAUCCUAGGUUUAAACUACAAUUCUUGAAAGCUCUUUUUAUCAACAUUUAUGGAAAAGAAGGUACAAGUAAUGAAGUUCAGAAAGUAAGAGAUUUGAUGUAUGAAUUGGUGUUGGAAUACCAAGGUUCUAUGGAGGGUGUUGCAACAACAGUUGAUAUUGGUGCUUCUAGUACCACUUCUGUGCAGAACGAAGAAGAUGAUAUGGUCUUUGACAUAUUUGAUCGAUACAUGUCUUCGCAGCCAGUUGAGUCAUCUUCUUAUGUGCGCACGGAGUUAGACUUGUACUUGGAUGAGCCAACAUUACCUAGAACACAAGAGUUAGACAUCAUUCACUGGUGGCAGUAUGCAGGGAUCAAGUAUCCUACUUUGAGAAAGAUUGCUCGAGAUACCAUGUCAAUUCCUGUGACAAUAGUAGCAUCUGAGUUGGUCUUUAGUACUAGUGGGAGGAUCAUUAGCCCAUAUCGGAGUAGACUUGCUCCAACAAUGGUAGAAGCAUUAAUGUGUAUGUAAUCUUGGUCUCGUGCUCACAUGUUAGGGUCCAAGUCUCCUAUACUUAAUGCAAUAAUGACUUGUCUUGAGAAUGAAGAGGAAGAAGAAAUGACCCGCCGGGUCUCGGAUCCCCGUCGAGUUCGGGUUUGGGGGUGAAUUUCAACCCGAUUAUCAAUUGGGUGACUUGGAUGCAUCAAUGUAUGGCUUGAUGUGACGAAGGUGGUAUGACAAAUUCAUCUUGGUGGAAAAAGAUAUUAGGAUGAUGAGGCAUGUGGCGCAUACUUGGCCGGUUGAGCGGAUGGAUUUUCGUAGAGCUGCAGCGUAUAUUCUGAUGAGUAGAAGCAGACUGAGCGGAUACAGUAACUCUGAAAAGAAGAGUGUUUGGUUGUCUGCACCUACGAAUGCAAUGACCGUGUGAUGGUGUUCGGUUGCCUGCAUGAGUGGAUGCAGUGACCCUGCACCUGAGACUAACGAGUGGGCCCGUUGCAGUACUGUAGCAGAUGCAAUGCAUAUUAUAUAUUGAAACUUUCCAGGAGAUAAAUCUUAACAUUA